GGUAAUUUAGUCUUAUACUCACUAUUAAUGGAUCAUAAAUCUAUUCAUCAAUAUUACUAAUCAAGAAGAGUUUAUUUUAUCUCCCCGUCACCCCAACCAAACAAUUUUAAGUAAAACCCAACUCUACCCUAAAUAGAUUUAUUACCCAUAAUUGUUAAACUCUAUAGGGUCUUCUCGUCCUCCAAUCUUAUUUAAGCCUUUUGACUAAAAAGUUAAAUUAUACCACAAUCUCCGUGAGACAGUAAACACCUCGUCCAACCAUUCAUACCAGCCCCUAAUUAAGAGACUAAUGAUUAUGCUACCUUUGCACGGUCAAAAUACCGCGGCCCUUCAAUUUUCAGCGGGCAGGCUAGACCUCCUACAUUUACAAGAAGCGAUGUUUUUGAUAAACAGGCGAGCAUCCAUUUGCCGAAUUCCUUACAAAGACCUUUCUAUAUUAUUUAACUAUUACAUUUCACUAUAUUAAUUUCACCAUUAUUACCCAUUGUCUUCUAUUACCAAUGACACUUUGAUACAUAAACUAAACCCAUUAAAAUUAAACCACCCCUAAGUAAACUAUAACGUUAUUAUUUGAUGACUGAUUUCAAGUCUACCCCCUUAAGUAACUGAGCCUGUUAUAGUUGUGUCCUUAAGCUUAUCCCUCAAGACAUUAGCAAUUAACCCCUAAAUCAAUUAUCACUAAUCAAAAUAACACUAUUGCCUAAAUUAAAUUCAUUUCUCAAAGAACUAGAAACCUAUAAAUUCGCCUAACAUUUCAUUUCUAAAGAAGUAUUUUUAAGAAAUUUGCCAUUUUAACUAAAUUACCUCUUUAGCCCACUUAAAAUCGAGAAAACAAAAUCUUUCGCUCCAUUUAAUAAACCCUGAUACACAAGGUACAACACUAAAUCUACUUUUCAUUAAAUUACUUUUCACUUAUUUCACCCUUCCUUCUCAGUACUACCCUUAUUACUUAUUUUAUGAUUUCAUUACCCAAUACUCCCACUAAUCUCUUAAUAUUGAUUUACCCAGUCAAUUUAAAUUCACUAACCCUAUUAAUUAUGCUACCUCUCAAAAUAAAUUGAAUUGCACAAUAACUUCUCAAUGUAAAUGAAAUGCUUUACUCCUCAAGCUCUA
RNAcentral lists this ribosomal RNA (1113 nucleotides) under Dipteromimus tipuliformis. RNAcentral's name for it is "partial 16S ribosomal RNA". Lineage: Eukaryota; Metazoa; Arthropoda; Insecta; Ephemeroptera; Dipteromimidae. The record is from RNAcentral.